UACGGAGGGGCUAGCGUUGUUCGGAAUUACUGGGCGUAAAGCGCGCGUAGGCGGAUCUGCAAGUCGGGGGUGAAAUCCCGAGGCUCAACCUCGGAACUGCCUUCGAUACUGCGGGUCUCGAGUCCGGGAGAGGUGAGUGGAAUUCCUAGUGUAGAGGUGAAAUUCGUAGAUAUUAGGAAGAACACCAGUGGCGAAAGGCGGCUCU
This 205-nucleotide ribosomal RNA is filed under the name uncultured bacterium. RNAcentral describes it as "partial 16S ribosomal RNA". It matches the Rfam family "Bacterial small subunit ribosomal RNA", at positions 524 to 728 of the family's 1533-position model. The record is from RNAcentral.